GAUGAACGCUGGCGGUAUGCUUAACACAUGCAAGUCGUACGAAGAUAAAUUGUGCUUGCAUAAUUUUAUACUGAGUGGCGGACGGGUGAGUAACACGUAAGAACCUACCUUUUGGCGAGGGACAACCACUGGAAACGGUGGCUAAUACCUCAUAUUGCUGAGAAGUGAAAGAUGAAUAAUCACCAAAAGAUGGGCUUGCGGCUGAUUAGCUUGUUGGUGAGGUAAUGGCUUACCAAGGCAAUGAUCAGUAGCUGGUCUGAGAGGAUGAUCAGCCACACUGGGACUGAGACACGGCCCAGACACCUACGGGUGGCAG
This 316-nucleotide ribosomal RNA is filed under the name uncultured cyanobacterium. RNAcentral describes it as "bacterial SSU rRNA". It matches the Rfam family "Bacterial small subunit ribosomal RNA", at positions 28 to 351 of the family's 1533-position model. The record is from RNAcentral. Lineage: Bacteria; Bacillati; Cyanobacteriota.